RNAcentral lists this ribosomal RNA (457 nucleotides) under uncultured eukaryote. Its description in RNAcentral is "bacterial SSU rRNA". It matches the Rfam family "Eukaryotic small subunit ribosomal RNA", at positions 592 to 1018 of the family's 1831-position model. The record is from RNAcentral.
CAGUAGCGUAUAUUAAAGUUGUUGCCGCUAAAAAGCUCGUAGUUGGAUUUCUGGCAAACCUAACUGGCCCGGUUCCUCACGGAACUGGGUGCCGGUUGGCGUUUCGCCAUCCUUUCCGGGAUGUUCCGGAGUGCUGCUGCCUACCCGUAAGGGCAGGGCGGCGGCGCCGGGUUUUAUGCAGACCGGAUCUGUUACUUUGAAAAAUUAGAGUGUUUCAAGCAGGCAUUUUCGCCUUGAAUACAUUAGCAUGGAAUAAUGGAAUAGGACUUUGGUUCUAUUUUGUUGGUUUCUAGGACCGAAGUAAUGAUUAAUAGGGACAGUUGGGGGCAUUAGUAUUUAAUUGUCAGAGGUGAAAUUCUUGGAUUUAUGAAAGACUAACUACUGCGAAAGCAUUUGCCAAGGAUGUUUUCAUUAAUCAAGAACGAAAGUUAGGGGAUCGAAGACGAUUAGAUACCAU